GUAGGUGGGCAAGCGUUGUCCGGAAUUAUUGGGCGUAAAGCGCGCGCAGGCGGUUCUUUAAGUCUGACGUGAAAGCCCACGGCUCAACCGUGGAGGGUCAUUGGAAACUGGGGAACUUGAGUACAGAAGAGGAAAGCGGAAUUCCACGUGUAGCGGUGAAAUGCGUAGAGAUGUGGAGGAACACCAGUGGCGAAGGCGGCUUUCUGGUCUGUAACUGACGCUGAGGCGCGAAAGCGUGGGGAGCAAACAGGAUUAGAUACCCUGGUAGUCCACGCCGUAAACGAUGAGUGCUAAGUGUUAGGGGGUUUCCGCCCCUUAGUGCUGCAGCUAACGCAUUAAGCACUCCGCCUGGGGAGUACGGCCGCAAAGGCUG
This 373-nucleotide ribosomal RNA is filed under the name uncultured organism. Its description in RNAcentral is "partial 16S ribosomal RNA". It matches the Rfam family "Bacterial small subunit ribosomal RNA", at positions 526 to 896 of the family's 1533-position model. The record is from RNAcentral.